RNAcentral lists this ribosomal RNA (406 nucleotides) under uncultured bacterium. RNAcentral's name for it is "partial 16S ribosomal RNA". It matches the Rfam family "Bacterial small subunit ribosomal RNA", at positions 30 to 526 of the family's 1533-position model. The record is from RNAcentral.
AUUGAACGCUGGCGGCAGGCCUAACACAUGCAAGUCGAACGAGUGGCGGACGGGAGAGUAAUGCUUGGGAAUCUAGCUGAGGGAGGGGGAUAACUACGGGAAACUGUAGCUAAUACCGCGUACCAUAGGAUGAGACCAAGUGGGAUUAGGUAGUUGGUGGGGUAAAGGCUCACCAAGCCGACGAUCCCUAGCUGGUCUGAGAGGAUGACCAGCCACACUGGGACUGAGACACGGCCCAGACUCCUACGGGAGGCAGCAGUAGGGAAUCUUCGGCAAUGGGCGAAAGUCUGACCGAGCAACGCCGCGUGAGUGAAGAAGGUUUUCGGGUCGUAAAGCUCUGUUGUUAGAGAAGCGGUAUCUAACCAGUAAGCAACGGCUAACUACGUGCCAGCAGCCGCGGUAAUUC